GGGAGGUUUAAAAUUGUACACUUUCAUACUCUUAUAAUAAAAUUGUUUACAUUCUUUCAAUCGUAGGAUUAUUUAUUUUUCAUUAAGAAUGUUAAUGUUUCGUAACAUUCAUUUUAGAUUCUAAAUAGAGCGAGGGAUAUAUUGGUUUUAAAAUGAUAUUUAUCAUUGAAAUGGAAUAAACCGAAAAAAAAGCGGAAAAAUGUAAGAAAUGUAGGUAUUAGCUAAAAAUAGUAUGGCUUUUUUUUUCCUGUGGACAACUUUUCUAUCAGCAAUUUUGCUCCGAUUUAUAAAGAUAGC
Molecule: non-coding RNA, 297 nt
Organism: Cinara cedri
Lineage: Eukaryota; Metazoa; Arthropoda; Insecta; Hemiptera; Aphididae
Source: the annotation of a GenBank genome assembly